GGGGCUAUAGCUCAGUUGGUAGAGCGCCUGAAUCGCACUCAGGAGGUCAGCGGUUCGACUCCGCUUAGCUCCA
RNAcentral lists this transfer RNA (73 nucleotides) under Bacteroidota bacterium. RNAcentral's name for it is "Bacteroidetes bacterium tRNA-Ala". It matches the Rfam family "tRNA". From Rfam's summary of the family: Transfer RNA (tRNA) molecules are approximately 80 nucleotides in length. Their secondary structure includes four short double-helical elements and three loops (D, anti-codon, and T loops). RNAcentral also lists the same sequence under 2 other names. The record is from RNAcentral. Lineage: Bacteria; Pseudomonadati; Bacteroidota.